AACGAACGCUGGCGGCAUGCCUAACACAUGCAAGUCGAACGAAGCCUUCGGGCUUAGUGGCGCACGGGUGCGUAACGCGUGGGAAUCUGCCCUUAGGUACGGAAUAACUCAGGGAAACUUGUGCUAAUACCGUAUGAUGUCGAGAGACCAAAGAUUUAUCGCCUAGGGAUGAGCCCGCGUAGGAUUAGCUAGUUGGUGGGGUAAAGGCCUACCAAGGCGACGAUCCUUAGCUGGUCUGAGAGGAUGAUCAGCCACACUGGGACUGAGACACGGCCCAGACUCCUACGGGAGGCAGCAGUGGGGAAUAUUGGACAAUGGGCGAAAGCCUGAUCCAGCAAUGCCGCGUGAGUGAAGAAGGCCUUCGGGUUGUAAAGCUCUUUUACCCGGGUAAGAUAAUGACUGUACCGGGAGAAUAAGCCCCGGCUAACUCCGUGCCAGCAGCCGCGGUAAU
RNAcentral lists this ribosomal RNA (451 nucleotides) under uncultured bacterium. RNAcentral's name for it is "bacterial SSU rRNA". It matches the Rfam family "Bacterial small subunit ribosomal RNA", at positions 29 to 524 of the family's 1533-position model. The record is from RNAcentral.